This 500-nucleotide ribosomal RNA is filed under the name Bacillus cereus. Its description in RNAcentral is "bacterial SSU rRNA". It matches the Rfam family "Bacterial small subunit ribosomal RNA", at positions 80 to 561 of the family's 1533-position model. The record is from RNAcentral. Lineage: Bacteria; Bacillati; Bacillota; Bacilli; Caryophanales; Bacillaceae.
UCGCUUCUUUAUGAAGUUAGCGGCGGACGGGUGAGUAACACGUGGGUAACCUGCCCAUAAGACUGGGAUAACUCCGGGAAACCGGGGCUAAUACCGGAUAACAUUUUGAACCGCAUGGUUCGAAAUUGAAAGGCGGCUUCGGCUGUCACUUAUGGAUGGACCCGCGUCGCAUUAGCUAGUUGGUGAGGUAACGGCUCACCAAGGCAACGAUGCGUAGCCGACCUGAGAGGGUGAUCGGCCACACUGGGACUGAGACACGGCCGAGACUCCUACGGGAGGCAGCAGUAGGGAAUCUUCCGCAAUGGACGAAAGUCUGACGGAGCAACGCCGCGUGAGUGAUGAAGGCUUUCGGGUCGUAAAACUCUGUUGUUAGGGAAGAACAAUUGCUAGUUGAAUAAGCUGGCACCUUGACGGUACCUAACCAGAAAGCCACGGCUAACUACGUGCCAGCAGCCGCGGUAAUACGUAGGUGGCAAGCGUUAUCCGGAAUUAUUGGGCGU